UAAUACGGAGGGUGCGAGCGUUAUCCGGAAUUACUGGGUUUAAAGGGUGCGUAGGCGGCUUUGUAAGUCAGGAGUGAAAGUUUGCGGCUCAACCGUAAAAUUGCUUUUGAUACUGCGAGGCUAGAAUUAGGAUGAGGUCAGCGGAAUGUGGCAUGUAGCGGUGAAAUGCAUAGAUAUGCCAUAGAACACCAAUUGCGAAGGCAGCUGGCUAGACCUGGAUUGACGCUGAGGCACGAAAGCGUGGGGAGCGAACAGGAUUAGAUACCCUGGUAGUCCACGCCCUAAACGAUGCUUACUCGACGUAUGGCCCUAGAGGUUGUGCGUCCAAGGGAAACCGUUAAGUAAGCCACCUGGGGAGUACGACCGCAAGGUUG
This 374-nucleotide ribosomal RNA is filed under the name uncultured bacterium. Its description in RNAcentral is "bacterial SSU rRNA". It matches the Rfam family "Bacterial small subunit ribosomal RNA", at positions 521 to 896 of the family's 1533-position model. The record is from RNAcentral.